UACCCUUUCUACAUAAUGAAGAAUUCACUUAAAAAGCAAAACCCUAUAUUUUGAAGAGUAAUUUUUGAAAAAAAAAGAUCACUGGCAGUCAAAGUUAUUUGCCCAGGUGUUUUGUAAACGUGAUUUGGCAUCCGAACACUGGCCGUGACUCAGAGAGGAACUCGCAGCUUGAAACUGGGCUUUUCGAAUCCUGCACUUCUGCAUAGGGCAGCUCACAUUCUACUGAACAGCACUGCAGAGAGAACCACCUGUCUCUGGGCAGAAGUGACCAAGAUGAGCUACUGGGAUGCGGGAAGAAGACACAGAUAAGAGCUCAGACUGCAGAACACCUUCCUUUCAGCUCUGCAAUCAGUGAUGCCUCCUGAAGCCCACUGGCUGGCGGUGAUGCAGGGGUAUUAUACGUCACUGUGAUUGAGGAGAGGCCACUGGAUGCAGCCAGCUCAGACUCCAUUUUGGAUUUCCUCACUUUCUAUAUAAAUUUGGGCAAGUUAGCUUCUCUGUUUUAGUUUCUUCAUGGUAUUUUUCAGAAUAUCCAACUUUGUGUGAAGAAUGAGAAAAGUAUGUGGGUGAAGGAAACACAUCCGAGCUAACCACAGAUCUCAAGUGGGCAAGCGUCUUGCACAAGCUCUGUAAUUCUACUACAUUUCCCCAGUCGAGUCACUAGGGCAAUGAAUUUAUACCUCUUCUUCCCCCCUCUAACAUCUAACAUUCAUCAUUUCUCAAUUAAUGAUUUUGCUUCUUAUUUCACGGAGGAAAAUAAAGUAAGAACAGAGAACUACCACCCUCUACCAUCAGAUCCUCCCCACCUCAGAUCUUUCAUUUUGAUUCAGAUGUUCUGCCUUCCCUUUGGUUUCAAGGCUGACUCUGCCUGGGUAUUGGAUCCACCCCUCAUUUACUUAAGGGCAUUGUUUCAGCAAUUCUUCCCCAUUUCCCUGGGGGAGACACCAAAUUCUUCUUCUCUACUGAAUCAUUCCCUUCAACAUCAAAUAUGCUAAAAUAUCUCCAUCUGAAAAAAACUGCUUUCCUCAGCUCCACAUUCCUCUCUAGCUGUUCCUUGUAUUUCUGCCUAUCAUUCUAGUGAGAGUGUUCUAAAGAUUAUCUGUGUUGAUGUUUUCAUUUUUUUUUCUUACCACCCAUUCACUUUUGAUUCAUUUUAGUCAGCUUAUCUUCUCUCUUUCCCUUGACACUUUUGAUGUGAAGGUCACCAGUGACCACCAUCUUUUUAAAUUCAAUGCCAGUUCUCUGUUUUCUUCUUAUUCAAUAUCUCAGGAGCAGUUGACAGUUGAUUUUUUCUUUCUCUUGAAAUGCUUUCCUCACUUGAUCGUCAUGAUAUCAUUCUCCACUAGUAUUCUACCUGCCUUCAGCUAAGGCAGGAGAACACGGAGACGCCCCACUCUCCUUUUCUUUCAGUUGUCUCCAACUGCCACCACUCUCUACCUCCUCCGAUAUACCACCUACAGGAGGAUGACUCUUGAAUAAGAGUCUUUAUCCUUGACUUCUUUUCAGAGCUCCGUAUUCAUAUAUCCAACUACGUACUAGAUAUUUUACGUACAUUUGUAUGACCAAUGGGAAUCUCAAAUUGAACAUACACAAGACAGAAUUCUUUAUUCUCAUAUCCUUAUAACCUCUCCUCCCAACCAAUCUCUUCCCCAGUCUUCUCUCUCUCUUUUUUAAAGAUUUUAUUUUAUUUAUUUGACAGAGAGAGAGAGAGAGUGAGAGAAUACACAAGCAAGAGAAGUGGGAGAGGGAGAAGCGGGCUCCCUGCUGAACAAGGAGCCCAAUGAGGGGCUUGAUCUCAGGACUCUAGGAUCAUGACCUGAGCCGAAGGCAGACACAACCGACUGAUCCACCCAGGCGCCCCUUCUCUCUCCUUGUUCAGAACAAAAACUAGACAUAACCUAAAUUGUUUCUUUCUCUGCCAUGUCAACCAGUUGACUGGAAAAUCCUGUUCAUUUUCAAAAUAUCUCCUGAAUCUCACUACUUCUCACCACCUCCAUCAAGGCCACCAAAGUCUACUGCACUAUUCUCUCUAGCCUGGACUCCUACUGGCCUCUUAACUGGUCUCCUUUGCCACUUUUGUCUUCCUGCAGUCUCUUUCUCAUACUGUAGCUAGUAUAGCCUUCAAAUAUUAAUUGCAUAUUUAAAAGUCCUCUAGUGUUUUUCCUUGAAUUUUGAAAUAAAAAAAAAAAACCCAACCCUUUAGCAUAGCCUCAAAUCCCCAUUCUCUGGAUUUCUUUUAUACCCAUUUCUUCUUGCUCAUUCUGCUCCAACCUUGCUAACUUCUUUGUGUUUCUUAAACAAACCAAACAUGCUCCCAGCUCAGGGCUUCUGCUCCUCUAGUUCCAUUGCCUGAAAUAAAAUCUUCCUCACUUUCUUCAAGACUCUGCACAAGUGUCCCCUCUUCACAGGGGUCUUCCCUGACCACCCAACGAAAUUAGUAAUUCUUCCUACCGCCAUCACUCUCUAGUUCUUUAACCUGCUCUGCUUACUACAGCCCAAUUACGUAAUAUGCUAUUUGUUUAUUUUUUACCGUCUCUCUCCCCAAUUAUUUUUUAUUUUUUACUGUCUCAAUUCCCUAGAUUGUAGGGCUCAUCAGGCAGAGAGCUUGCUUGUCCUUUACCAACUCCAGGGUAUACAACAGUGCCUGGACUCGAGGGGGUAUGGGAUACAUCUUUAUCAAAUGGUUGAGAGGAUACAUAUAAGGGGCUUGCCACCGUGUUGAAAAAAUAGUGACACUGCUGUUAUUUUUCUGCUGUUAUUGUUUAUUUAAUAUGUUAAUUUUUCUGUUCUUAUGUCACUAAAGAAAGAAUUGAACCUGUUGGAUGAAGUUGGGAAAAAGAAUUUCGAUACCAUCACCGAUGCUAAACAUUGUUUGAUUUUUUCCCCAUUUUUCUAGUCAUUUGCUUCUAAAGAAUAAGAAUAUUUCUGGAUUUUUGCAAAGAUAUUAGAAUCUUGAUUUUUCAAGUGUGGGCAAAAAUUCAAAUAAUAUACUAUAUUGAUAUUUAAAAUCAAGGAAGAAAUCCCCAACUUCACAAAUUGGUUGUUUUUCAUAACUAGGUUGAAUAAAUAUAGCUAUACUUUCAUAAGCUUUUUCUUUUAAAAUUGUUUUCUGUUUAUUGUUUAAUAAUAAUGUCUUUUGAAAUUGUAAGAUAAAAAUACUAACUAUGUUUCUUGGGGCAACUGAUAGUCAUUGACAGAAAUUUUUGGCUUUUACAUGACAAAAUAUCUGCACAAUUCUCUCACAAUCUUGUUUAAACUUUUACAAUACGGACUUGAGAAAAGUUCCCUAAGUUUAUUAAAGAAUUUUUGAAGAUGUAGUGUUUUCAGGAUAGACUGUCUUGUCUAAAUCUAUUUUUCUGAAGUAAAGCUUGUUGCUCUAUUUUUAUACAAGAACAAAAGACAAGAUGAAAACAAUAAAACUGUGGUUGAUUUUCA
Ailuropoda melanoleuca (giant panda) is the source of this 3435-nucleotide long non-coding RNA. RefSeq lists it as uncharacterized. Lineage: Eukaryota; Metazoa; Chordata; Mammalia; Carnivora; Ursidae. The transcript has 3 exons. The record is from RefSeq and is a predicted model, not a curated record.